This 435-nucleotide ribosomal RNA is filed under the name uncultured bacterium. RNAcentral's name for it is "partial 16S ribosomal RNA". It matches the Rfam family "Bacterial small subunit ribosomal RNA", at positions 29 to 507 of the family's 1533-position model. The record is from RNAcentral.
AGCGAACGCUGGCGGUAGGCUUAACACAUGCAAGUCGAACGGGCAUCUUCGGAUGUCAGUGGCAGACGGGUGAGUAACACGUGGGAACGUACCCUUCGGUUCGGAAUAACUCAGGGGAACUUGAGCUCAUAGCGGAUACGCCCUUUUGGGGAAAGGUUUACUGCCGAAGGAUCGGCCCGAGUCUGCUUAGUUGGUUGGUGGGGUAAGGGCCUACCAAGGCGACAAUCUGUAGCUGGUCUGUGAGGAAGAGCAGCCACACUGGGACUGAGAUGCGGCCCAGACUCCUACAGGAGGCAGCAGUGGGGAAUAUUGGACAACGGGCUGAGGCCUGAACCAGCCAGGCCGCGAGAGUGAUGAAGGCCUUAGGGUUGUAAAGCUCUUUUGUCCGGGACGAUAAUGACGGUACCGGAAGAAUAAGCCCCGGCUAACUUCGUG